CCUACGGGUGGCUGCAGUAGGGAAUAUUGCUCAAUGGGGGAAACCCUGAAGCAGCAACGCCGCGUGGAGGAUGACGGUUUUAGGAUUGUAAACUCCUUUUGUUAGAGAAGAUUAUGACGGUAUCUAACGAAUAAGCACCGGCUAACUCCGUGCCAGCAGCCGCGGUAAUACGGAGGGUGCAAGCGUUACUCGGAAUCACUGGGCGUAAAGAGUGCGUAGGCGGGGUAAUAAGUCAGAUGUGAAAUUCUGUAGAUUAACUACAGAACUGCAGUUGAAACUGUUGCUCUGGAGUGUGGGAGGGGUAGGUGGAAUUCUUGGUGUAGGGGUAAAAUCCGUAGAGAUCAAGAGGAACACUCAUUGCGAAGGCGACCGGCUGGAGCAUGACUGACGCUGAGGCACGAAAGCGUGGGGAGCAAACAGGAUUAGAUACCCCUGUAGUC
This 440-nucleotide ribosomal RNA is filed under the name uncultured bacterium. Its description in RNAcentral is "partial 16S ribosomal RNA". It matches the Rfam family "Bacterial small subunit ribosomal RNA", at positions 338 to 795 of the family's 1533-position model. The record is from RNAcentral.